This 460-nucleotide ribosomal RNA is filed under the name uncultured bacterium. RNAcentral's name for it is "partial 16S ribosomal RNA". It matches the Rfam family "Bacterial small subunit ribosomal RNA", at positions 338 to 795 of the family's 1533-position model. The record is from RNAcentral.
CCUACGGGAGGCAGCAGUGAGGAAUAUUGGUCAAUGGGCGAGAGCCUGAACCAGCCAAGUAGCGUGAAGGAUGACUGAUCUAUGGUUUGUAAACUUCUUUUAUAAGGGAAUAAAGUGAGGCACGUGUGCCUUUUUGUAUGUACUAUAUGAAUAAGGAUCGGCUAACUACGUGCCAGCAGCCGCGGUAAUACGGAGGGUCCGAGCGUUAUCCGGAUUUAUUGGGUGUAAAGGGAGCGUAGACGGGAGGGCAAGUCUGUUGUGAAAGGUGGGGGCUCAACCCCCAAACUGCAAUGGAUACUGGCAGGCUUGAGUGCAGGAGAGGUAAGUGGAAUUCCUAGUGUAGCGGUGAAAUGCGUAGAUAUUAGGAAGAACACCAGUUGCGAAGGCAGCUUACUAAACUGUAACUGACAUUGAUGCUCGAAAGCGUGGGUAUCAAACAGGAUUAGAUACCCUUGUAGUC